RNAcentral lists this ribosomal RNA (292 nucleotides) under uncultured bacterium. RNAcentral's name for it is "partial 16S ribosomal RNA". It matches the Rfam family "Bacterial small subunit ribosomal RNA", at positions 334 to 643 of the family's 1533-position model. The record is from RNAcentral.
GACCCUACGGGAGGCAGCAGUCGGGAAUAUUGCGCAAUGGAGGAAACUCUGACGCAGUGACGCCGCGUAUAGGAAGAAGGUUUUCGGAUUGUAAAAUAUUGUCGUUAGGGAAGAUAAAAGACUGUACCUAAGGAGGAAGACCCGGCUAACUAUGUGCCAGAAGCCGCGGGAAUACAUAGGGGGCAAGCGUUAUCCGGAAUUAUUGGGUGUAAAGGGUGCGUAGACGGAAGAACAAGUUGGUUGUGAAAUCCCUCGGCUCAACUGAGGAACUGCAACCACAACUAUUCUCCUU